This 394-nucleotide unclassified non-coding RNA is filed under the name soil metagenome. RNAcentral describes it as "partial contains 5.8S ribosomal RNA, internal transcribed spacer 2, and large subunit ribosomal RNA". The stretch from base 1 to 122 matches the Rfam family "5.8S ribosomal RNA", at positions 35 to 154 of the family's 154-position model. The record is from RNAcentral.
GAUGAAGAACGCAGCGAAAUGCGAUACCUGGUGUGAAUUGCAGAAUCCCGCGAACCAUCGAGUCUUUGAACGCAAGUUGCGCCCGAGGCCACCCGGCCGAGGGCACGCCUGCCUGGGCGUCACGCCAAAACACGCUCCCACCCCCCCUCACCGGGGGAGCGGGACGCGGCGUCUGGCCCCCCGUGCCGCGAGGCGCGGUGGGCCGAAGAUCGGGCUGCCGGCGUACCGUGCCGGGCACAGCGCGUGGUGGAUCUCUACUCGGCGCAGUGCACCCGGCGCGUAGCCGGCGCAGCGGCCCCUAGGGACCCAACGAACGGAGCGCGAGCCGCUCCGACCGCGACCCCAGGUCAGGCGGGACUACCCGCUGAGUUUAAGCAUAUCAAUAAGCGGAGGA